This 258-nucleotide ribosomal RNA is filed under the name uncultured Streptococcaceae bacterium. Its description in RNAcentral is "partial 16S ribosomal RNA". It matches the Rfam family "Bacterial small subunit ribosomal RNA", at positions 524 to 782 of the family's 1533-position model. The record is from RNAcentral. Lineage: Bacteria; Bacillati; Bacillota; Bacilli; Lactobacillales; Streptococcaceae.
UACGUAGGUUCCGAGCGUUGUCCGGAUUUAUUGGGCGUAAAGCGAGCGCAGGCGGUUAGAUAAGUCUGAAGUUAAAGGCUGUGGCUUAACCAUAGUACGCUUUGGAAACUGUUUAACUUGAGUGCAAGAGGGGAGAGUGGAAUUCCAUGUGUAGCGGUGAAAUGCGUAGAUAUAUGGAGGAACACCGGUGGCGAAAGCGGCUCUCUGGCUUGUAACUGACGCUGAGGCUCGAAAGCGUGGGGAGCAAACAGGAUUAGA